This 253-nucleotide long non-coding RNA is filed under the name Ananas comosus (pineapple). Its description in RNAcentral is "long non-coding RNA (ACOM_LNC040097)". The record is from RNAcentral. Lineage: Eukaryota; Viridiplantae; Streptophyta; Magnoliopsida; Poales; Bromeliaceae.
CUCCAACGGGUCGUACCAGCAAACCAGGGAUCUACGGAUGGUGCCAUCACACUUGUUGCUAGGUUUCAGCGUGCCUGGGGCCGUGCUCACCUUUCGGAGCACUGCCGGCAGCAACUACGCGCGCACGAGCGACGCGAACAACAGCGAACCAGCGCGCACAGCGCGAAGAUAGCACAUUACUCUCUAACCAGGGCACCGUUAACCUAAAUGGAGGUGAGCAUCGUGUUCAGCAUGAGCCCACGAUCAUCGUGCU